AUGUUUGGAAAGCUACAGAGCAGUAGCCAUAGAAAGACUGCGUGAGACAGAGUCCUAGCCUAUCUGUCCGGCCAGUCGAACCUCAUGUGUUCGCUGCUUUCAUUUUCCCUUGGCUGAGGAAACGAUGGUUUGGUUUUGCAAAGGAAUGCUGGGGACUUCUGCCAGCUUGCUAACGGCCUUGCCCCAUUCAGAUGCAUCGAACUCACAGAACAUCGCUCCCCAGCUGCUGGCUCGCGGUUCUGAGAGUGCCUGAAUAGAAAACCACUCAUUUCCCUUCGCAAAAGAGGCGCCCAAAGCAGAUAUUUCAAUAUAUUCCAAUUUAGCCGAGGGAAGCCAGAACAUGGAUGUUGUUGCCAAGGAAACCACCUCCUUCCUCCUGUGUGCUGUGCAUACGUGUAUCACUUCAUCUCUCUGCUCUCCAAGCUUGAAUCUAGAUCUGACGUGGAUAUCCUGCCACAGUUCCGAAGUCUACCUAGUGCCCCAGCCGAACCUGCCCUGGCUCCUAGAGAAAUAGGGAACAAUAAAAACAACCUGAGGUGUGGCAAAGGCUCUAGGACUGCAUCAUCUGCUGAAGCUCCAGUCCCUGCGCUGCAUCUCCUGAGUGGCAUCUGUGAUGGCAAACAAAGGCUCCUUGGGCUUCACGCUCUGCUUUCUUUCUAAGUGGUACUUACCACCCGCUGCAUCCCAGCCUUCUUCUGACCAGCUUCCUCUUCUGAUAGGCUUAUUUCCAUGAAGUUUUUCAGAGUUAGAAGCAUGAACUUUAGAACCAGAUGAUCCCGGUUGGAAUCCAUCUCUGGCACUUGCUAUAUGACCUUGGAUAAGUUACUUAACCUUUCUGUGUCUCAGUUUCUUUUUCUAUAAAAUGGGCAUAAUAAAAUCUAUCUAGCAUAGUUAUUGUAAGGAUUAAGUAAGUUAUUAUAUGCAGAGCUCUUGGUUCACAGUUAGUGCCAUUUAAGCCUUUCUGUCAUUCUUACUGUUACCAUUUUCCUGGCAUGUCAGUCUGAUGAUGCAGACGAGGCAGGAACUUUCGUCUCUGCCUCUCGUGGACUGCCCAAUCAGCUCCACGGAACUCAGCCAUGCCUGCAGUGCUGCAGGCCUCGCUUUGGACUGCUGGAGGCUGAGAAGUCAAUGGAUGUUGCUUGGGCAUUUUGGGGGGUUUCCUUAUGCAGGAGGAAGAUGACAAUCAUUGUGGAAGCAGAAGGUUGUCAUGGAAAUGCACCUGUUCCAAGUCAUUGCACCCUGGGCUCUGGGCUGGCUCUGCACGGGCCUGCCAUGCACUGACUUCAGCUUCAUCUGAGUCAGUGGAAGGCUGGACAAAGGUAGACAUCUUUCCUCACUGCCAGCCUGCCAUUGCGGCUUUCUGUCUCUGGUGUGAACAGGCAAUCGAGCUUUCCUGGUCUCCUGAGCUACUGUGAACGUGGCAGAAGAUAGUGGACUCUGAAUAACAUUGGAAACAACUACUUCCUGGACGGCCACUGUGUGCAUGGCCUGCGGGAGGGUGAGGGCAAGAGGACUGAUGGUUACUGGGAAUCUUCUUCAUGGCCAGGCUUCUGUGUGUCCUCUCACUUAAUCCUCCAACAGCACUGUGAGGAAAAUACAGCAUCCCACCUCACAGGCGAGGAAGCUUAAGUUGAAGGAAUGUUAAAUUGCCUGCUCUGAGCCUCACAGCCGGGAGGUGACAGCCCCAGGAUUGGCGGCCAGGGUUUGUCUGCCUUUAAAACUUAUGUCAUGUCCUUCUGUGUUAUCUCGGUCUGUACAGGCUGCUACAGCAAAAUACCAUAGCCUGGGUAGUUUAUGAACAACAGAAAUUUAUUUCUCAUAGUUCUGGAGCCUGGAAGUCCAAGAUCAAGGCUCUCGCAGGUUCAGUGUUCGGUGAGGACCCACUUCCUUAUUCAUAGACGUCCCCUUCUCACUGUGGCCUCACAGCAAGGGGUCAGGGUUCUCUCUGGGGCCUCUUUAAAUAGGGUCACCAAUCCCAUUCAUGAGGGCUGUACCCCCAUGACCUAAUCCCCUCCCAAAGGCCCCACUUCCCCAUACCAUCACCUUGGGGGUUAGGAUUCUAACAUGAAUUUUGGGGGGACACAGGCAUUCUGAUCAUAGCAUAUGUGUAGUUGCUCCUGGCCCGCUGGGGAAAUCACCGUCUCCAAGCAUGGCUCCCAUCUGGUUACCCUGGGUGGCCAAGGUCAGCAGAGGUGCUUUGCCAACUGAUUGGCACCCACACUACUUCUGUCCAGGUGGGCUGGGGCGAGGGUUGGGUCACAGUGGGACUCUGUGGGGCUCCGGGGACUGUCAGCUGCCCCGGGGCUGGAGGUCCUGCUGCUCUGUGCCCAUAGGCACCUCCUGGGAAUCUGGCGACUUGCAUCAGGGCCCGGAACUCACCCUGACAGUUCUUUCAGCUCUUGUCUUUUCCUCCCCUACCUACCUGCUCAUCUCGCUUUCACACACAAAGCCUCCCCUGCACUCCCCGCUCCCCUCCUCAAUCCCUUUCCCGGCUUUUGUACUUUAUGAUGCCGUGACUUGGGUGAGGAAACUCAUUAAAGUCAUUAUUCCGUGCACAGAAAUGUGUCUUUCAUCCCAUUCAUAUUUAAUGUUCCUCCCACUUGAU
This 2605-nucleotide long non-coding RNA is filed under the name Homo sapiens (human). RNAcentral's name for it is "HSALNT0358663". The record is from RNAcentral. Lineage: Eukaryota; Metazoa; Chordata; Mammalia; Primates; Hominidae.